RNAcentral lists this ribosomal RNA (433 nucleotides) under uncultured bacterium. RNAcentral describes it as "partial 16S ribosomal RNA". It matches the Rfam family "Bacterial small subunit ribosomal RNA", at positions 29 to 507 of the family's 1533-position model. The record is from RNAcentral.
AACGAACGCUGGCGGCAUGCCUAACACAUGCAAGUCGAACGAGACCUUCGGGUCUAGUGGCGCACGGGUGCGUAACGCGUGGGAACCUGCCCUUAGGUUCGGAAUAACUCCCCGAAUGGGGUGCUAAUACCGGAUAAUGUCUUCGGACCAAAGAUUUAUCGCCUUUGGAUGGGCCCGCGUUGGAUUAGCUAGUUGGUAGGGUAAAAGCCUACCAAGGAGACGAUCCAUAGCUGGUCUGAGAGGAUGAUCAGCCACUCUGGGACUAGGACACGGCCCAGACUCCUACGGGAGGCAGCAAUGGGUAAUAUUGGACAAUGGGCGAAAGCCUGAUCCAGCAAUGCCGCGUGAGUGAUGAAGGCCUUAGGGAUGUAAAGCACUUUUACCCGGGAUGAUAAUGACAGUACCGGGAGAAUAAGCUCCGGCUAACUCCGUG